This 259-nucleotide ribosomal RNA is filed under the name uncultured Staphylococcus sp. RNAcentral's name for it is "partial 16S ribosomal RNA". It matches the Rfam family "Bacterial small subunit ribosomal RNA", at positions 541 to 802 of the family's 1533-position model. The record is from RNAcentral. Lineage: Bacteria; Bacillati; Bacillota; Bacilli; Caryophanales; Staphylococcaceae.
UUAUCCGGAAUUAUUGGGCGUAAGCGCGCGUAGCGGUUUUUAAGUCUGAUGUGAAAGCCCACGGCUCAACCGUGGAGGGUCAUUGGAAACUGGAAAACUUGAGUGCAGAAGAGGAAAGUGGAAUUCCAUGUGUAGCGGUGAAAUGCGCAGAGAUAUGGAGGAACACCAGUGGCGAAGGCGACUUUCUGGUCUGUAACUGACGCUGAUGUGCGAAAGCGUGGGGAUCAAACAGGAUUAGAUACCCUGGUAGUCAAGGGCG